AAGGGACAGAGUUUUUCAGCUUUCUUCUUUUUAAGGGGAAACACAUCUGCCAAAGAAGAGAACGGCGUUGGUUGCGAUGUGCUUGAUACAGAAGAGGAAUGGAUGGUCAGCCCUAAAUUCUUCAGAGACGCUUGCAGCAUCCACUCCAGCCUCUGCUGACCCUACCACCUCUCUGCCUGCUUCAUUGAUUUCUGCAUGUGCUGCAUGGACAGCUUGAGAUAUCUUCAGGCUCUCUGCUGAGGAGAUGCCAGACAGAUUGGCUGAAGAGCUAAACACGUCAGUAAUGCCCAUAGCCAUUAAGACAGAUGUGAGGUUGUAUUUUUCCUCCAUCUUCAUGCGAGUGUUCUCCCAACUGCUGGAUGCAGAGCAC
Molecule: long non-coding RNA, 370 nt
Filed under: Gallus gallus (chicken)
Lineage: Eukaryota; Metazoa; Chordata; Aves; Galliformes; Phasianidae
Description: long non-coding RNA NONGGAT004156
Source: RNAcentral